Molecule: small nuclear RNA, 21 nt
Filed under: Arabidopsis thaliana (thale cress)
Lineage: Eukaryota; Viridiplantae; Streptophyta; Magnoliopsida; Brassicales; Brassicaceae
Description: snRNA_08172
Source: RNAcentral
AGACCAUUGUCCAAUGGUCAG